CUUCGAUCUCAUCACCUUCUUUCCCCUCCCACCCCUCUUUUUGAUCCCCGCUUUGGGGCUUGCAAAUUUUUGACAUGUCAAAUGAGAGUGAAGCUAAAAUGUAAACAACAAGUGUUCGCGUGUGCCGUGAUUUUAAUAAACAUAAAAUCAACCAAGGAAGUAUGAUUUAGUUGUGGUGGAAGCGAAAAAAAUGCUUGGAGCAUGGAAUAAAACCGGAUGAAAUUUCUAGCCUUCACGCACGAUGCCGACGCUGAGGUAAGGUGUGCUUGUGUUUAAUUUCGAUGAUUGUUUCAUUUUAGGGUGUGCUCCACAGCUAGUAGCUCCCACAUUCGAACCGCUCAUGGUAACCUGCAAUUAUGUUAUUUUUAGUUUUUCAUUUAGUUUCAAUGUAAAGUAAUAGUUGAAAAACAUACAAUUUGAUUUCAUCCAACUUACAGGUUUUACAGGUGAACAACAAUUAGCAACUCCCGAUCGAAUUGCACACAACAACCACCCACAAUCACAGCUGUAAAAAGUAACACGGAUAGGUAGCAAGGAAAUCAAGCUUGUACACUGAAAUCUACACAAAAACUGGGUUUUAUAAGCGCACGAAAAGCGACGCGGCUAUCUUUUAAUAAAA
Anopheles gambiae (African malaria mosquito) is the source of this 619-nucleotide long non-coding RNA. RefSeq lists it as uncharacterized. The transcript has 3 exons. NCBI's taxonomy places the organism in Eukaryota, Metazoa, Arthropoda, Insecta, Diptera, Culicidae. The record is from RefSeq and is a predicted model, not a curated record.